Molecule: ribosomal RNA, 440 nt
Filed under: uncultured bacterium
Lineage: Bacteria
Description: partial 16S ribosomal RNA
Rfam family: Bacterial small subunit ribosomal RNA
Source: RNAcentral
CCUACGGGAGGCAGCAGUGGGGAAUAUUGCACAAUGGGGGGAACCCUGAUGCAGCGACGCCGCGUGAGGGAAGAAGUAUUUCGGGAUGUAAAGCUCUAUCAGCAGGGAAGAAAAUGACGGUACCUGACUAAGAAGCCCCGGCUAACUACGUGCCAGCAGCCGCGGUAAUACGUAGGGGGCAAGCGUUAUCCGGAUUUACUGGGUGUAAAGGGAGCGUAGACGGUUAUGCAAGUCUGACGUGAAAGCCCACGGCUCAACCAUGGGACUGCUUUGGAAACUGUAAGACUGGAGUGCAGGAGAGGUAGGCGGAAUUCCUAGUGUAGCGGUGAAAUGCGUAGAUAUUAGGAGGAACACCAGUGGCGAAGGCGGCUUACUGGACUGUGACUGACGUUGAGGCUCGAAGGCGUGGGGAGCAAACAGGAUUAGAUACCCUGGUAGUC